UAGAGUUUGAUCAUGGCUCAGGAUAAACGCUGGCGGCGUGCCUAACACAUGCAAGUCGAACGAUCCCGCAAGGGAGAGUGGCGGAAGGGUGAGUAACACGUGGGAAUCUACCUCCUCGCAGGGAACAACCUCUCGAAAGAGAGGCUAAUACCCAAAAGGGUCAGAAAUGAUCAGAGUCGAAAGGCGUGAGGAGAGGAGCCCGCGGCCCAUCAGCUAGUUGGUGAGGUAAUGGCUUACCAAGGCUACGACGGGUAGGGGAUCUGAGAGGAUGUCCCCCACACUGGAACUGAAACACGGUCCAGACGCCUACGGGUGGCAGCAGUGAGGAAUAUUGGACAAUGGGCGAAAGCCCGAUCCAGCAACGCCGCGUGGAGGAUGAAGGCCUUCGGGUCGUAAACUUCUAUAGAGGGAGACGAGAAAGGACGGUAUCCCUAGAAUAAGCGACAGCGGACUACGUGCCAGCAGCCGCGGUAAUA
This 476-nucleotide ribosomal RNA is filed under the name uncultured bacterium. RNAcentral describes it as "bacterial SSU rRNA". It matches the Rfam family "Bacterial small subunit ribosomal RNA", at positions 1 to 525 of the family's 1533-position model. The record is from RNAcentral.